RNAcentral lists this ribosomal RNA (254 nucleotides) under uncultured bacterium. Its description in RNAcentral is "partial 16S ribosomal RNA". It matches the Rfam family "Bacterial small subunit ribosomal RNA", at positions 524 to 776 of the family's 1533-position model. The record is from RNAcentral.
CACGUAGGGGGCGAGCGUUGUCCGGAAUCAUUGGGCGUAAAGAGCUCGUAGGCGGCUCGGUAAGUCGGGUGUGAAACCCCCAGGCUCAACCUGGGGACGCCACCCGAUACUGCUGUGGCUAGAGUCCAGUAGGGGAGUGUGGAAUUCCCGGUGUAGCGGUGGAAUGCGCAGAUAUCAGGAGGAACACCGAUGGCGAAGGCAGUUCUCUGGGACGGUACUGACGCUGAGACGCGAAAGCGUGGGGAGCGAACAGG